This 271-nucleotide ribosomal RNA is filed under the name uncultured bacterium. RNAcentral describes it as "partial 16S ribosomal RNA". The record is from RNAcentral.
CUGCUGCCUUCCGUAGGAGUUUGGACCGUGUCUCAGUUCCAAUGUGGGGGACCUUCCUCUCAGAACCCCUAUCCAUCGUCGUCUUGGUGGGCCGUUACCCCGCCAACUAACUAAUGGAACGCAUCCCCAUCGAUAACCGAAAUUCUUUAAUAUCAAGAUCAUGCGACCUUGAUAUCCUAUCGGAUAUUAAUCUUUCUUUCGAAAGGCUAUCCCCGAGUUAUCGGCAGGUUGGAUACGUGUUACUCACCCGUGCGCCGGUCGCCAUCGGAAG